RNAcentral lists this ribosomal RNA (465 nucleotides) under Vreelandella stevensii. RNAcentral describes it as "partial 16S ribosomal RNA". It matches the Rfam family "Bacterial small subunit ribosomal RNA", at positions 338 to 795 of the family's 1533-position model. Lineage: Bacteria; Pseudomonadati; Pseudomonadota; Gammaproteobacteria; Oceanospirillales; Halomonadaceae. The record is from RNAcentral.
CCUAUGGGGGGCAGCAGUGGGGAAUAUUGGACAAUGGGCGAAAGCCUGAUCCAGCCAUGCCGCGUGUGUGAAGAAGGCCUUCGGGUUGUAAAGCACUUUCAGUGGGGAAGAAAGCCUUGGGGCUAAUACCCUCGAGGAAGGACAUCACCCACAGAAGAAGCACCGGCUAACUCCGUGCCAGCAGCCGCGGUAAUACGGAGGGUGCGAGCGUUAAUCGGAAUUACUGGGCGUAAAGCGCGCGUAGGCGGUCUGAUAAGCCGGUUGUGAAAGCCCCGGGCUCAACCUGGGAACGGCAUCCGGAACUGUCAGGCUAGAGUGCAGGAGAGGAAGGUAGAAUUCCCGGUGUAGCGGUGAAAUGCGUAGAGAUCGGGAGGAAUACCAGUGGCGAAGGCGGCCUUCUGGACUGACACUGACGCUGAGGUGCGAAAGCGUGGGUAGCAAACAGGAUUAGAUACCCUAGUAGUC